GACGAACGCUGGCGGCGUGCUUAACACAUGCAAGUCGAACGAUGAAGCACCAGCUUGCUGGUGUGGAUUAGUGGCGAACGGGUGAGUAACACGUGAGUAACCUGCCCCUCACUCUGGGAUAAGCCUGGGAAACUGGGUCUAAUACUGGAUACGACCGAUCCCCGCAUGGAAUGUUGGUGGAAAGUAUUUGUGGUGGGGGAUGGACUCGCGGUCUAUCAGCUUGUUGGUGGGGUAAUGGCCUACCAAGGCGACGACGGGUAGCCGGCCUGAGAGGGCGACCGGCCACACUGGGACUGAGACACGGACCAGACUCCUACGGGAGGCAGCAGUUGGGAAUAUUGCACAAUGGGCGGAAGCCUGAUGCAGCGACGCCGCGUGAGGGAUGACGGCCUUCGGGUUGUAAACCGCUUUCACCAGAGACGAAGCUAACGUGACGGUACCUGGAGAAGAAGCACCGGCUAACUACGUG
This 469-nucleotide ribosomal RNA is filed under the name uncultured bacterium. Its description in RNAcentral is "partial 16S ribosomal RNA". It matches the Rfam family "Bacterial small subunit ribosomal RNA", at positions 28 to 507 of the family's 1533-position model. The record is from RNAcentral.